Molecule: RNA transcript, 627 nt
Organism: Ixodes scapularis (black-legged tick)
Lineage: Eukaryota; Metazoa; Arthropoda; Arachnida; Ixodida; Ixodidae
Exons: 4
Source: RefSeq, a predicted model, not a curated record
AUUUCUUCAAGCUUGUGCUCUUCGCGUCUGUACUUCGCAAAUAUAAAGCUGAAGAUGAAGGUGGCACUGGUCUUAUUCCUUGUUGCCGCAGUGGCAAUCGUCAGGGUGCAGUCAACGAGUCCACCGAACUGUGCAUUGGUGAAUUGCGCGGACGAACACUGUUCGCCCGUUAACUGUGCCUGUGGGUCCUACAAGGGGUCAUGCGGUUGCUGCGACGUCUGUUACAAGUGUGCCAAUGAAGCCUGCGUUAUACUCCACCAGCACCGUUGCGAGGAAGGAACCGAGUGCAGGCUGAAUAAUCCCGAGGAAAGUAUUUCCCAGGGUGCCCAGGGUACGUGCAUCAGGAAACCAAGCACAGAAGGACCACAUGGUCACAGCCACAAUGAGAAGUAGAACAGAUGGAUGAGUUUGGAAUAAAAAGCCUACCGACGACGUAAACGAAUGCAGGGUCAAAAGCUGAAGACGCUAGCUGUCCUUUGUGAAGCGUCCUUGUAUGCAUUUAUAAUCGGGGGCGGAUCAUUGCUUAUCUUUUAAGGCACAGCCGAAAAUAAACUAUGCAUGUUACAAACUAUGGACUGUUGUGCGCUAUAAGAUGGAAAACAAAUAAAAUAUAUUCAAGCAGUAUGA